This 136-nucleotide non-coding RNA is filed under the name Bacillus sp. (in: firmicutes). The record is from RNAcentral. RNAcentral also lists the same sequence under 1 other name. Lineage: Bacteria; Bacillati; Bacillota; Bacilli; Caryophanales; Bacillaceae.
AGCUGAUUAUUCCAUAAAAGUGCCCUUUUCAAGGGAGAAUAGGGAAACCGGUGAGACUCCGGUGCAGCCCCCGCUACUGUAAUUGGCGAGUAAUGCCGCCAUAAGCCAGGAGACCUGCUUUUCAUGGUUUUAGCAC